ACCAACCAGGAGCAGAUAAUUGAAGAUUUUCAGUGUUUGUUAAUCACUGAUGACAUGCUUUGGAAGUACUCAAAACAAAGGAAGUUUGGAUUGUGAUGGCUGUGUGACAAUCUGAAACUCAACUCUACUGUGCUUAUCUCAAUCAAGGAAACAACAAGGCCUGAAGGAAAAGUUUGGUGCAUGGUGUUCCUGGGACUUUUAGAACCUCUUAAACCCCAAGUGGGCUCUGGCAAUAAUAUCAGGAAGAAUGAAGCCUCCACUUAAUAAAGGAAGAAUGACUUCAGUGUGGUAUCAAAGAUAAG
Molecule: long non-coding RNA, 302 nt
Filed under: Sarcophilus harrisii (Tasmanian devil)
Lineage: Eukaryota; Metazoa; Chordata; Mammalia; Dasyuromorphia; Dasyuridae
Description: lncRNA (ENSSHAG00000031862.1)
Source: RNAcentral